GUUUUGUCACUGCUGUGGUUGCCAUGUUCUGGUUUUAAUUCUAUCUUAGUUCUUGCUUUGUCUUGAAUCCCUAGAGCUGAAAUUGCUUUUGAUUCCUAUCCAAUUUGAAUCCUCUAUUUUACUGCAACCAUGGUCAGUGCUGCGAAGGCUAAUGUUGUUGCUGUUCCGGUUGCGUGAGAGUUACCGCUGCUGCCCUGAAACUAAAAGAGAAGAGAGUUGUUACGUUAAAGUAUGCGAUUGCGACAUCGAGUGACACAGGUUUGAAGACGCAAUUUGAAGCUGCGAGCGAUUAGUAGGUUUUCUUUAUGGUUUUAAUUGCUUUCAUAGAGUCCCCACGCUAUUAUCCCUUGAGAUUUUAUUUUAACAGAGGGAUAGGUGUUGUAUUUGGGUUUAUAUGACUUCUUAUGUAUAAGAAUUACUAUUAAUAAUACUUAUGUGAUUGUUAUUAUUAUUUGCAAUGUUUAUCCUUGA
This is a non-coding RNA of Arachis ipaensis, 471 nucleotides long. The record is from RefSeq and is a predicted model, not a curated record. Lineage: Eukaryota; Viridiplantae; Streptophyta; Magnoliopsida; Fabales; Fabaceae.